GGCGGACGAAGGAGGGCCAGUCGUUUCAUCUCCCAGGUCCUUCAUACAAUGCAUCAUUCCCACCGUGGGCUGAUGCGCAGGCCUUCCCGCUGGUCCGUACCGUAGACCCGUCGUCCUGGCACCUGUCGCCCUGGAAUGCCUGCAUCCUCACUCAUCCUGUGAGCCCGGGCUGCACAGGCGAGCAGGAUCAGAACCCCCUCCCUCCCCCUGGACGUCCCAGUACCCGAAGCAGACAGAUGGGGAGCUGCAUGCCUUGCUUGGAUCACCCUGUGCAAGAUAAUAAAACACACUUUGUUGGAAUUUUCU
Camelus dromedarius (Arabian camel) is the source of this 306-nucleotide long non-coding RNA. RefSeq lists it as uncharacterized. The transcript has 3 exons. The record is from RefSeq and is a predicted model, not a curated record. NCBI's taxonomy places the organism in Eukaryota, Metazoa, Chordata, Mammalia, Artiodactyla, Camelidae.